This 319-nucleotide ribosomal RNA is filed under the name uncultured Bacteroidales bacterium. Its description in RNAcentral is "partial 16S ribosomal RNA". The record is from RNAcentral. Lineage: Bacteria; Pseudomonadati; Bacteroidota; Bacteroidia; Bacteroidales.
GGAGUCUGGUCCGUGUCUCAGUACCAGUGUGGGGGAUAAGCCUCUCAGCUCCCCUAGACAUCGUCGGCUUGGUGGGCCGUUGCCCCGCCAACUACCUAAUGUCACGCAUGUCCAUCCACUACCACCGAAGCUUUAGUUGUUUCUCCAUGCGAAAAACAACACCAUGGGAUAUUAGUGGAAGUUUCCCUCCGUUAUCCCCCUGUAGUGGGUAGGUUGCAUACGCGUUACGCACCCGUGCGCCGGUCGCCAUCUAUCAAAGCAAGCUUCGAUAAUGCUGCCCCUCGACUUGCAUGUGUUAAGCCUGUAGCUAGCGUUCAUC